AUUGAACGCUGGCGGCAUGCUUUACACAUGCAAGUCGAACGGUAACGGGUUAAGCUGACGAGUGGCGAACGGGUGAGUAAUGCAUCGGAACGUGCCCGAUCGUGGGGGAUAACGCAGCGAAAGCUGCGCUAAUACCGCAUACGAUCUGAGGAUGAAAGCGGGGGACCGUAAGGCCUCGCGCGAUCGGAGCGGCCGAUGUCAGAUUAGGUAGUUGGUGGGGUAAAGGCUCACCAAGCCAACGAUCUGUAGCUGGUCUGAGAGGACGACCAGCCACGCUGGGGCUGAGACACGGCCCAGACUCCUACGGGAGGCAGCAGGGGGGAAUUUUGGACAAUGGGCGAAAGCCUGAUCCAGCAAUGCCGCGUGCAGGAAGAAGGCCUUCGGGUUGUAAACUGCUUUUGUACGGAGCGAAAAGGCCCUCUCUAAUACAGGGGGUUUAUGACGGUACCGUAAGAAUAAGCACCGGCUAACUACGUGCCAGCCGCCGCAGUAA
This 493-nucleotide ribosomal RNA is filed under the name uncultured bacterium. RNAcentral describes it as "partial 16S ribosomal RNA". It matches the Rfam family "Bacterial small subunit ribosomal RNA", at positions 29 to 523 of the family's 1533-position model. The record is from RNAcentral.